GCUAGGGAGGAGGACUAGUGGUCAGGGAGGAGGACUGGUGGCUAGGGAGGAGGACUAGUGUUCAGGCUAGGGAGGAGGACUAGUGGCUAGGGAGGAGGACUAGUGGUCAGGCUAGGGAGGAGGACUAGUGGUCAGGCUAGGGAGAGGGACUAGUGGUCAGGCUAGGGAGGAGGACUAGUGGUCAGGCUAGGCAGUGGGACUACUUUUGACUAGAGCCCGUAGAGCUUUUUGGCCCAAGUCCAAGGCAGUCCACUAGGUAAUACAGUAUCAUUCCCUCACGUUAAUACUCUGUUGCUGCUUGGCACUGGGUCCUCUCCUCUAUUAGAUUUGAU
Long non-coding RNA from Oncorhynchus tshawytscha (Chinook salmon), 332 nucleotides. NCBI's taxonomy places the organism in Eukaryota, Metazoa, Chordata, Actinopteri, Salmoniformes, Salmonidae. The record is from Ensembl.